RNAcentral lists this long non-coding RNA (1157 nucleotides) under Macaca fascicularis (crab-eating macaque). RNAcentral describes it as "lncRNA (ENSMFAG00000047649.1)". Lineage: Eukaryota; Metazoa; Chordata; Mammalia; Primates; Cercopithecidae. The record is from RNAcentral.
GUUCCUUUCACAGUCCUUGGGAGAAGAAUUUUGCCCAUGAGAGGUGUCUCAGGUGCCGACCUUUCUGUGCCUCCCUAGCACAUUCCUGCAUCUAAAUCAGAACUGGUCAAUGUUUCACUCCUCCGCUAUCCUCCCAGCCGUGUCUUCUGAAUCUGGUGAACAAUUAACCGCCAGCAGCCCCUGCUUUUCCAGCUUUCAAUCUUACCUCCUUAGAAGCCUCCCUACAUUUACUGCUAGGUGUCAAUGAUCUACCAAGCUUGAGAAGCACCGGGGCUUCCUCUCCAUUCUUUAAGGAGCCUCUUGCAUAUCGUUUUACAAUGAUCUUGAUGAUACAUGAUUCUUCUCAAGGAAAUAUAUCAUAGGGAAUAACCAAGUCAAAGCACCCACAUUGACUCUUGAAUUGUGUUUUCUGUUGGGAAUUCUUUCAAAGAACUGGAGAAAACGGGCAAAGAUACCAGGCCAGUUCUGCCACUUACAAGCCAGGUGACAUUAGUCAGUUUCUUAACUUCUGUGAGUCUUCUUUUUACACUUAUUAAAUGAGGAGGGUCAUUCUUCCCUCUUAAGUUUAUCAUAUAGACUAAAUGACAGUGUGUACAAAAGUGUUUGGCCCAGACUAGCAACUUAAUCAGUAUUCUUACAUAAGAAACUGUAGUCUAAAGUUCAUAAGAUCAUAGAAUGCUGGACCUAGAAAAUGCCUUGUAAAGCUUGUAUAACUUUAACAAGAGAGGAGGUCCAGAGAAAAAAGUCUGAGAUAUACAUAUUCAAUGACCUUUCAGCCAGUUGGUGGCCUGUAGUCUAGUUCUGCUCUGUCCAUUAGAAAUAUAAUGUAAAAGCCAUACAUGUAAUUUAAAAUUUUCCAGUAAUCACGUUAAAGAAAUAGAAGGUGGUUUAUGCUGGUAAUCCCAGCAACUUGGGAGGCUUAGGUGGGAGGAUCACUUGAAUUUGAGACCACCCUGGGCAACACGGCAAGACCCUAUCUCUACAAAAAUAGUUUUUAAAAAUGAGCUAGGUGUGGUAAUGUGUGCCUGUAGUUCCAUUUUUCUGAGAGGCAGAGGUGGAACUUGAGCCCAGGAGUUCAAGGUUGCAGUGAGCAAUAAUCACACCAUUGCACUCCAGCCUGGGCGACAGAGACCCCAUCUCAAAAAAAAAAAAAAAAA